RNAcentral lists this ribosomal RNA (490 nucleotides) under uncultured bacterium. Its description in RNAcentral is "partial 16S ribosomal RNA". It matches the Rfam family "Bacterial small subunit ribosomal RNA", at positions 29 to 507 of the family's 1533-position model. The record is from RNAcentral.
AGUGAACGCUGGCGGCAGGCCUAACACAUGCAAGUCGAACGGCAGGACAGGAAAGUUUGCUCUCUGGGUGGCGAGGGGCGGAGGGGUGUGGCAUACAGCUGAACUUGCUCAGUCGCGGGGGAUAACGCAGGGAAACUUACGCUAAUACCGCAAAUGUUUUUAGGGGGAUAGAGGGGGAUUGCAAGACCUUCUGGCUUUCGCUUAUCCGUUGUCGGAUUAGCUAGUUGGUGAGGUAAUGGCCCACCAAGGCGACGAUCCGUAGCUGGUCUGAGAGGAUGAUCAGCCACACUGGAACUGAGACACGGUCCAGACUCCUACGGGAGGCAGCAGUGGGGAAUCUUGCGCAAUGGGCGAAAGCCUGAUCCAGCCAUGCCGCGUGAGUGAUGAAGGCCUUCGGAUUGUAAAGCCCUUUUAUUAGGGAAGAACACAUUCGUACUUAUACCCUGAGAUGUUGACGGUACCCAAUCAGUAAGCACCGGCUAACUUCGUG